UGCCAGCAGCCGUGGUAAUACGGAGGGGGUUAGCGUUGUUCGGAACUACUGGGCGUAAAGCGCACGUAGGCGGAUUAGAAAGUUAGAGGUGAAAUCCCGGGGCUCAACCCCGGAACUGCCUUAAAACUACUAGUCUAGAGUUCGAGAGAGGUGAGUGGAAUUCCGAGUGUAGAGGUGAAAUUCGUAGAUAUUCGGAGGAACACCAGUGGCGAAGGCGGCUCACUGGCUCGAUACUGACGCUGAGGCACGAAAGCAUGGGGAGCGAACGGGAUUAGAUA
This 278-nucleotide ribosomal RNA is filed under the name uncultured bacterium. Its description in RNAcentral is "partial 16S ribosomal RNA". It matches the Rfam family "Bacterial small subunit ribosomal RNA", at positions 506 to 784 of the family's 1533-position model. The record is from RNAcentral.